Molecule: ribosomal RNA, 253 nt
Filed under: uncultured bacterium
Lineage: Bacteria
Description: partial 16S ribosomal RNA
Rfam family: Bacterial small subunit ribosomal RNA
Source: RNAcentral
UACGUAGGGUGCGAGCGUUGUCCGGAAUUAUUGGGCGUAAAGCGUGCGUAGGCGGUUGGCAAAGUCAGCUGUGAAAGCCCCGGGCUCAACCUGGGAAUGGCGGUUGAAACUAGUCGACUCGAAUCUGGCAGAGGGGGGUGGAAUUCCACGUGUAGCAGUGAAAUGCGUAGAGAUGUGGAGGAACACCGAUGGCGAAGGCAGCCCCCUGGGCUGAGAUUGACGCUCAGGCACGAAAGCGUGGGGAGCAAACAGG